Scylla paramamosain (green mud crab) is the source of this 659-nucleotide long non-coding RNA. RefSeq lists it as uncharacterized. The record is from RefSeq and is a predicted model, not a curated record. NCBI's taxonomy places the organism in Eukaryota, Metazoa, Arthropoda, Malacostraca, Decapoda, Portunidae. The transcript is spliced from 4 exons.
GAUCUAGCUGAAAAUGACACCGGUUUUCAAGGGUGUUUCUACGGUUCCAGUGACAGAUUAACAAGAUUUCUACAUUAUUACCAGGAGAAGCAGUCUUGAGAACCAGGCUAAUCAUCUAUGUGGCCUUGGGAAACAGUCGUGAGGUGCAGCGCAGAAGUGCUUUUAGAAUAUAGCUGGUGAAGCCUCCCUGAUCUCUCUCGUCUGCGCGUCGCCUCACCCACAGCCUAGCCUCGCCUCAGUCACCGCCUCCCCACCUCCGCGAUCCAACGCAUCCCAGCCUCACGUAACCUAACCUACGUAACCAAGGCAAUAGCGUUCCUGAUCUCUCGCUUUUCGCCUCACGUCAUCAUCUGAACCGUAAAAGCGUGCUGAAUACCACCACCACCACCACCACCGCCGCCGCCGCUACCACCACCACCACCACCGCCGCCACCGCUACCACCACCACCAUCGCCACAGCAAAAGCCUGCGUGCGAUCGGGUGACGUAGAAAAUGGCUUCCGACGCUCCUUUGUUUUUUUUUUUGUUUUUUUUUUCUAUUUUUUUUUUCGGGGGAGGUUUUGUGAAAUUAAUAAAGAAAUGAGGAAAAAUAAUAAAUCGUUUUCUUUUGUUUAAUUUAGAUUUUUACAGAGGUUUUGCGAAAUUAAUAAAGAAAUGAGG